UACUCUCACACUUCUGAUCUUUGGGUUGGGAGUGGUGGACUUGGGUUUUGCUGCUUAACUGUGGCUUACCUCAAAUGGAUCCAUGCAACUCUUGGUUGGACAUAGUACAGUGUGAUAAGUGUCUUCGCCAGCACCUCAUAAUUGAGGGUGGCUGAUUGGGAGCUCUGUGCUUCAAACCAUCUUUGGACAAUGACUGACA
This 199-nucleotide unclassified non-coding RNA is filed under the name uncultured Sebacina. RNAcentral's name for it is "sequence contains ITS2". Lineage: Eukaryota; Fungi; Basidiomycota; Agaricomycetes; Sebacinales; Sebacinaceae. The record is from RNAcentral.